ACCGUGGGCCGUGACUGGCGCGCUGGGAUGGAGCAACCAUCGGGAAGCGGCCCCGGGCCCUUCGGGUCCGGACACAUGUGCCGUGCGCCUGGGCCGUACCG
This 101-nucleotide non-coding RNA is filed under the name Streptomyces caelestis. RNAcentral's name for it is "ZTP sequence". It matches the Rfam family "ZMP/ZTP riboswitch aptamer (pfl RNA motif)". Rfam says of the family: Previously known as pfl RNA. ZMP is also known as AICAR. The record is from Rfam by way of RNAcentral. Lineage: Bacteria; Bacillati; Actinomycetota; Actinomycetes; Kitasatosporales; Streptomycetaceae.